RNAcentral lists this ribosomal RNA (468 nucleotides) under uncultured bacterium. Its description in RNAcentral is "partial 16S ribosomal RNA". It matches the Rfam family "Bacterial small subunit ribosomal RNA", at positions 28 to 507 of the family's 1533-position model. The record is from RNAcentral.
GACGAACGCUGGCGGCGUGCUUAACACAUGCAAGUCGAACGGAAAGGCCCUGCUUUUGUGGGGUGCUCGAGUGGCGAACAGGUGAGUAACACGUGAGUAACCUGCCCUUGACUUUGGGAUAACUUCAGGAAACUGGGGCUAAUACCGGAUAGGAGCUCCUGCUGCAUGGUGGGGGUUGGAAAGUUUCGGCGGUUGGGGAUGGACUCGCGGCUUAUCAGCUUGUUGGUGGGGUAGUGGCUUACCAAGGCUUUGACGGGUAGCCGGCCUGAGAGGGUGACCGGCCACAUUGGGACUGAGAUACGGCCCAGACUCCUACGGGAGGCAGCAGUGGGGAAUAUUGCACAAUGGGCGGAAGCCUGAUGCAGCAACGCCGCGUGCGGGAUGACGGCCUUCGGGUUGUAAACCGCUUUCGCCUGUGACGAAGCGUGAGUGACGGUAAUGGGUAAAGAAGCACCGGCUAACUGCGUG